GAUGAAGAACGCAGCGAAAUGCGAUACGUAAUGUGAAUCGCAGAACUCAGUGAACCAUCGAAUCUUUGAACGCACAUUGCGCCCCUUGGUAUUCCAUGGGGCAUGCCUGUUCGAGCGUCAUUUGUACCUUCAAGCUCUGCUUGGUGUUGGGUGUUUGUCUCGCCUCUGCGUGUAGACUCGCCUCAAAAUAAUUGGCAGCCGGCGUAUUGAUUUCGGAGCGCAGUACAUCUCGCGCUUUGCACUCAUAACGACGACGUCCAAAAGUACAUUUUUACACUCUUGACCUCGGAUCAGGUAGGGAUACCCGCUGAACUUAAGCAUAUCAAUAAGCGGAGGA
Molecule: unclassified non-coding RNA, 337 nt
Filed under: soil metagenome
Description: partial contains 5.8S ribosomal RNA, internal transcribed spacer 2, and large subunit ribosomal RNA
Rfam family: 5.8S ribosomal RNA (bases 1-120)
Source: RNAcentral